Molecule: ribosomal RNA, 253 nt
Filed under: uncultured bacterium
Lineage: Bacteria
Description: partial 16S ribosomal RNA
Rfam family: Bacterial small subunit ribosomal RNA
Source: RNAcentral
UACGUAGGGUGCGAGCGUUGUCCGGAUUUAUUGGGCGUAAAGAGCUCGUAGGCGGUUUGUCGCGUCGGCCGUGAAAUCUCCACGCUUAACGUGGAGCGUGCGGUCGAUACGGGCAGACUUGAGUUCGGUAGGGGAGACUGGAAUUCCUGGUGUAGCGGUGAAAUGCGCAGAUAUCAGGAGGAACACCGGUGGCGAAGGCGGCGACCUGGGUAGAUACUGACGCUGAGGUGCGAAAGCGUGGGGAGCAAACAGG